This 200-nucleotide unclassified non-coding RNA is filed under the name Oryza sativa (Asian cultivated rice). RNAcentral describes it as "partial microRNA MIR440c-2 precursor". The record is from RNAcentral. Lineage: Eukaryota; Viridiplantae; Streptophyta; Magnoliopsida; Poales; Poaceae.
AGCAAUUUUACGGUCCUUUAGGAGGUACCAUGAGGUAACAUUUUUUCUAGAGCAAUUUUACGGUCCUUUAGAAGGUACCAUGAAGUACCAUUUUUUCUAUUGUAAAUUUGGUACCUCAUGGUACCUAGGUACAAUGAGGUACCAAAAUUUACAAUAAAAUUUUGGUACCUCAUGGUACCUCCUCAAGGACCGUAGAAUUG